UCAGUUGGACCAAUCGUACCGUCAGCAGCGAGGAAACCAACAACAACCGUUUCACACUGAGCAAUCAACAGCUAAAAAGACUACCAGCACCGAUUCGGACAACAUCGACUCAGAUGAGAAAUAGCAGCAACAGCGCAGAUUGUCGGUGUUAUUCCAAUAAUAUACUGUCUGUAACAAAAACUCCACUAGCUGAUGAACGAUAUGCUACGGCGAAAGUUCCACAAUUUCAAACACAGCGUCACGACAACAUCAAUUCUACAGCAGUACUUGGGAGCCCACUAAUCCUUCCAUCAAAGGAUCGGAGCGAUAUGUGUCCUAUUUGCUACACAAUUUCCUCCACAAAUCACAACUUCACGGUGCUCAAAAACAGAAAAUCCGCGUCUGAGAAUGAUGGGGAGAAUCAGUUUGCGUGGUCAAUUUGCUUCAAGGCGCUUCGUUGCUGGAUCGGUACAUGCAGCUUCCACUCGAACUUGGAGCGUCAUAUCAAGCAGUAACAUCUUUAAUUCUGGUCGUAUUGUCAGCGCGGAGGCAAUCAUUAGAAGCGCGGUUGGAGUAUUCGAUCGGCAAUCCGCCAAAGGGAGGAAGUAGACAAAGAUUUGAUGUUCCGCUGUCACAAGAUUAAAACGACGAGCAGGUGCUGCUGACUUCCGGCUCGGCAUGAGGCUGAGUGGAGAAUUUCUUAUUAAAUUGAAAGAACAAGUACUACCAAUUUUGAUCCACAAUGAUCAAUCAGCAUGUGACUAAACUGAGAGAUUUUUUCACUAUGCAGCUUCCAUUGGGAUUUCCAGUAAAAAUAGAAAUAACGCUGUUUCAUGUGUUGAACGCGGUUAUCAUAUUUGGCAACUUAUUCGAAUAAGAGACACCCGUGACCAGCGUGAGCCCCAUCAAAGAAAGCGAGAAGCGUACGAGA
Toxorhynchites rutilus septentrionalis is the source of this 910-nucleotide long non-coding RNA. RefSeq lists it as uncharacterized. NCBI's taxonomy places the organism in Eukaryota, Metazoa, Arthropoda, Insecta, Diptera, Culicidae. The transcript has 3 exons. The record is from RefSeq and is a predicted model, not a curated record.